GACGAACGCUGGCGGCGUGCCUAAUACAUGCAAGUAGAACGCACAGUUUAUACCGUAGCUUGCUACACCAUAGACUGUGAGUUGCGAACGGGUGAGUAACGCGUAGGUAACCUGCCUGGUAGCGGGGGAUAACUAUUGGAAACGAUAGCUAAUACCGCAUAAUAUUAAUUAUUGCAUGAUAAUUAAUUGAAUGGUGCAAUUGCACCACUACCAGAUGGACCUGCGUUGUAUUAGCUAGUAGGUGAGGUAACGGCUCACCUAGGCGACGAUACAUAGCCGACCUGAGAGGGUGAUCGGCCACACUGGGACUGAGACACGGCCCAGACUCCUACGGGAGGCAGCAGUAGGGAAGCUUCGGCAAUGGCCGAAAGUCUGACCGAGCAACGCCGCGUGAGUGAAGAAGGUUUUCGGAUCGUAAAGCUCUGUUGUAAGAGAAGAACGGGUGUGAGAGUGGAAAGUUCACACUGUGACGGUAGCUUACCAGAAAGGGACGGCUAAGUACGUG
Molecule: ribosomal RNA, 505 nt
Filed under: uncultured bacterium
Lineage: Bacteria
Description: partial 16S ribosomal RNA
Rfam family: Bacterial small subunit ribosomal RNA
Source: RNAcentral